GAAAACCGGAAGUAGAAAAAAAUAACUCAUUAUUAAAAAUCUAACAAGUGAGCUUUGUUGCUGAAACAGAAAGUGACAGUUAUCACCCAAAAUUUCUUUGUAGAGCAGCGAGAUGUACAAAGUAAACGUAAUUAAACUGAGCCGAAAACGAUCAAAGGCUAUGCCGUCUAGCGUAAGAAAAUUGAAACGUUUAACAGUAACAUGAAAACAAUGUCCGCUCUAGCUAGUUGACAGUUUACACUCAUUGAAAGAACUUACAAAACAUAGAAAAUAACUUUGAUACUCACGUAAUAUUCUCCCCUCGUCUUCAUAAAAGAGCCACCACCGCCGCAUCACACAUCACAACAGACGAAAUCACCAAGGUCUUGAUGGCCAUUGAUUUUCUGACUGUUAAUGGAGCUGCUGCCUAAUGAGGAGUUGGUGAAAGGUAUGCUUAAAGCAGUUGCUGCUGCUGGCCUUGGUGUCUCAAUUCCAUUUGUGGUUCGUUAAUUUGUCUGCCAUGUCAAAUCUCUUCCUUUUGUGACUAAAAUUUCAUCUGUGCAGUAUUAUGAAUGAUUGAGGAAAACUGAUCUUACAUGAUAGUGUAGGAGUGAUUUAAUUCACAACUGCUUGAUCAAAAAAAUUUGGGCCAAACAAAAAUUUGCACUGGGAUAAUUACAUUGUUUAUUCUUCAAUUUCAGAGACACA
Molecule: long non-coding RNA, 687 nt
Organism: Daphnia pulicaria
Lineage: Eukaryota; Metazoa; Arthropoda; Branchiopoda; Diplostraca; Daphniidae
Exons: 3
Source: RefSeq, a predicted model, not a curated record